Molecule: small RNA, 79 nt
Filed under: Salmonella enterica subsp. enterica
Lineage: Bacteria; Pseudomonadati; Pseudomonadota; Gammaproteobacteria; Enterobacterales; Enterobacteriaceae
Also listed under: 2 other names
Description: partial RtT sRNA
Rfam family: RtT RNA
About the family: This family represents a bacterial cis-regulatory element known as RtT RNA.
Source: RNAcentral
GUUGAGCGUGAAGGAUAACGUUGCGUCAGCAACGGCCCGAAGGGCGAGGCGAAGCCGAGUCAUCCUGCACGACCCACCA